UUGACCUCGGAUCAGGUAGGGAUACCCGCUGAACUUAAGCAUAUCAAUAAGCGGAGGAAAAGAAACCAACCGGGAUUACCCUAGUAACGGCGAGUGAAGCGGUAAGAGCUCAAAUUUGAAAGCUGGCCCCCUCGGGGUCCGCAUUGUAAUUUGCAGAGGAUGCUUCGGGAGCGGUCCCCAUCUAAGUGCCCUGGAACGGGCCGU
Molecule: ribosomal RNA, 204 nt
Filed under: Penicillium sp.
Lineage: Eukaryota; Fungi; Ascomycota; Eurotiomycetes; Eurotiales; Aspergillaceae
Description: partial 28S ribosomal RNA
Rfam family: Eukaryotic large subunit ribosomal RNA
Source: RNAcentral